UUCUUGUUACUUAUUAUUCAAUAAUGAAAUAUAGUGGGGUUCAGCAGAAUGUGGAGAAACAAAAAGAAAUCAAUUGAAAUAUGUUUUGUUUUUAAUGUUUAUCUGAAUUUUCUUGUAAUAGAUCCUAGAUGACCACUCUAGAAUUGAGCAUUUAAAUACACUCAAUCAAAAACAGAACAAAAUAUGUCUACUAAUUCAUCUUUCAUGUUUUCUAUGAGAAAAUAAAACCAAUUCUAAUGUCAGAAAGUGAACAUUAUUAACCUUCUGCAUCAAUUUCUUAUUGUAGCAAUUUAGGGCUCCAUUUCACAGAAUAAACUGUGAUGUGUCCUGUUAGGCAAAGCAUGUUUAACCCUUUUGAUACCCACCUACAUGCAACCACCCUUGUUUCUAUCAUACAAAUUCUGUUUUUAAGUCAUCUAAAAACUUUCCAUAAAAAUUCCAUAUUGAUUCAUGUUCUAAUCACAGCUUAGUAACGAGUUCUUUUACUAGAUUCUUUAUUACUUUCAAAAUUAAUUGAAACCAAAACCGUCCAUGCUGACAGAAAUGCAGCAACAACAUAAUUCAAAGCAUUACUUCUCCAUUUCAUGGUUGUAUUUAUCAUGGAUUCAUCUAUAACUUCUCACUCUCAAUUUUUUUGGCUGUCUUAAUUGUCAGCCUCAUAGUAUCAUCAGGUUCAAACAUCCCGUUGACUUACCCAACUAGAUAUGGCUGUUGUAGACUGUCGCUGAAUACAUCAGAGGUCAAAGAAACACAGAACAAGACCAAGCUUUAUCUUUUUAAUGGAAUUGGUAAAACCAUGUGAAAUUCUUCCAUUUUUAAAAAAAAAGUUGUUCAGAUUCCUCUGGAAAUUAUUGUUUACAGUGUAGACAAUUCUCCUCUUAUAAACUAUUGGUGCAAGUAGUGACCUACUCUUAUGUACUGUUAGUGUGGUCUUUAUAGUGGCCAACUCUUCUUAUGAACUAUUGGUGGGCUCUAUGUGGUUAACAUAGUAGCCAUCUCUUCUGUUUAUUGUGUAAACAACUUUAAUGAAAAUUAAAAAAAUUGAACAACUU
Molecule: long non-coding RNA, 1052 nt
Filed under: Octopus sinensis (East Asian common octopus)
Lineage: Eukaryota; Metazoa; Mollusca; Cephalopoda; Octopoda; Octopodidae
Description: uncharacterized LOC118765574, transcript variant X1
Source: RNAcentral